UAUUAUUUUUUUUAGCUAAGAAUUAUACUUAACAACACAAAAGUUGAGAUUAUUCAUAGUAGAAUAUUUACCAACGCUAGAGUUGAAAUUAUUCGUAUUAGAAUUUUUACCAAAGCCAAACUUUGAAUUAUUUCAUAAUGAAAUAUUUACCAACACCAGAAUUGAAAAUAUAUGUAAUUAAAUAUUCACUGAUGCUAGAAUCAUGAAUAUUACUGGUGAACCGUCAUAACACAAAUCAACAAAAAAUUUAGCAAUUUAAAACAAGACUAGCAAUGCAGCUUACCUUAGGUAGAGUGCGCUAGGGGUGCUAAUACCUUCUCUAGUCACGACCCGAAUCCCGGAUCCAUGACCGACACAUAGGCAAGGUUCCCCUCCAAGGUUCCAUAUCUAUGCGAACCCAAACUUACACACAAACUUAUCCUAACUUAAUCAGAGUUCAACACAGCAUUAAUAACAAAAUCAACUUCAUAAUAUAAUUGAAUUGUCUUAAUACAAGAGUUAAUAUAAUUCAUAGUUUUGGAGCACUAAUUUGACAUAAAAGGAAGGUACAAAUUACAACCAAAAAGCAGGUUCGGAAGGUUCAACAAAAGUAACAUGCUAUCAAGCUAUAAGCCUGAAAAGAAUAAUAAUGAGAGGGUGAGUUCAACAACUCAGUGAGUAGAUAACGUUCAAUAUACACACACGAGGUAAUAAAACAAUGAGAAAUAUAUAUACAAGUAUGACUUUAGGUUCUUAUGGAAAUGUUUUUCAAAUUGGCCAUAACAAGAAUGUCAUAUGGUAAAACUCGUCAGAAAAUCAAAAUGCAAUGAGCAUGAAGUAUGACUUUAGGUUCUUAUGGAAAUGUUUCUCAAAUUGGCCAUAACAAGAAUGUCAUAUGGUAAAACUCGUCAAAAAAUCAACAUGCAAUGAGCAUGAGGCUCCGUACUGUGGGAUGAUCAGUCCACACAGGUUGGUGACUCCCCCAACCAACUAGGGUUCAGAUACGAUGUGCACAAAGACUAACACUACCUUGUUAGCAUGGGUAUUCUGACUGACAUACCAUAGGUUCAUAAUCAUAAUCAUAAUCAAACAGACAUAUUCAUAUCUUAAGGCUCAACUCAUGACAUCAAUCAAAUGAGGAGCUAUCAAUUCAGAAGUCAAUUCAAAAUAUAUACUGGUUCAUAUCAAGAAUUCAGAUUCAACAAUUGAUCAUGCUUUAUCAUAACAAGGAUAAUAAUCAACAUAUAUAUUAUCAAGAAGCAUGAUCCAAUUCAUAUUAACAAAUCAAAUAUUUAUAAUAUUUCUCAUGCAUAUGGAAAAUUAUCCACUCACUUGACUCGAAAGCAACAAAACUCAAAGCUGAUAUCGAAGGAAAUCCUACUGACGUCCCGCCGGUAAAAUAUCAGGAUUAUCUGAAUACAAAUGAGACAUAUUCAAGAAUGACUCAAAAAAACAUAUAACCUAUUUAAUACACUUAUCUAAAGGUGUAUUCCAUAACUGUCACGACCCGAAUCCCGGAUUCAUGACCGGCACAUAGGCAAGGUUCCCCUCCAAGGUUCCAUACCUAUGCGAACCCAAACUUACACACAAACUUAUCCUAACUCAAUCAGAGUUCAACGCAACAUUAAUAACAAAAUCAACUUCAUAAUAAUUGAAUUGUCUUAAUACAAGAGUUUAUAUAAGUUCAGAGUUUUGGAGCACUAACUAAACAUAAAGGAGAGAUACAAAGUACAACCAAAGAGCAGAUUCUGAAGGUCCAACAAAAUGACCUGCUAUCAAGCUAUAAGCCUGAAAAGGAUAAAUAAUGAGAUGGUGAGUUCAACAACUCAGUGAGUAGAUAACGUUCAAUAUACACACACGAGGUAAUACAGCAAUGAGAAAUAUAUAUACAAGUAUGGCUCUAGGUUCUUAUAGAAAGGUUUCUCAAAUAGGCCAUAACAAGAAUAUCAUAUGGUAAAACUCGUCAGAAAAUCAAAAUGCAAUGAGCAUGAGGCUCCGUACUGUGGGAUGAUCAGUCCACACAGGUUGGUGACUCCCCCGACCAACUAGGGUUCAGAUACGAUGUGCACAAAGACUAACACUACCCUGUUAGCAUGGGUAUUCUGACUGACAUACCAUAGGUUCAUAAUCAUAAUCAAACAGACAUAUUCAUAUCUCAAGGCUCAACUCAUGACAUCAAUCAAAUGAGGAGCUAUCAAUUCAGAAUUCAAUUCAAAAUAUAUACUGGUUCAUAUCAAGAAUUCGGAUUCAACAAUUGAUCAUGCUUUAUCAAAACAAGGAUAAUAAUCAACAUAUAUAUUAUCAAGAAGCAUGAUUCAAUUCAUAUUAACAAAUCAAAUAUUUAUACUAUUUCUCAUGAAUAUGGAAAAUUAUCCACUCACCUGACUCAAAAGCAAACAGAAGCCAAAAGCAGACACCGAAGAAAAUCCUACUGACGUCCUGUCGGUAGAAUAUCAGGAUUAUCUGAAUACAAAGGAGACAUAUUCAAGAACGACUCAAAAGAACAUUUAACCUAUUUAAUAAACUUAACUAAUGAUGUAUUCCGUAACCCUAUAUGUUUUUGAACUAACUAGUCAAUUUUCUCAAAAACCCAAAAUUUAACGGUUUUCCCGAAAUCUAAUCCAUAAAUAAACAACUAAUAAAAUUGGCAAUAAUUCACUAAAUAACCCUUAAUUAUUCAUCAAACUAAUCUGAAAAGGCUAAUAUUACAGCUAGGGACCAAUCUGUAAUUUAUCAUAUUUUUAGGGCCAAAUUGUAAUUUUUGUCUAAUUGGAGGACCAAACUGAAAUUUAUCAUAAAUCCAUGAAUAUACUGAAAUUCUGACCAUAAUUAGUCCUCAUUUCUGUCCAGAUCAUCUCAUUAUACUCCAAGGACCAUUCUGGAAUUUUACCAAAUUGUUUAGGGUCAAAUUGUAAUUUUGUCAAAUUGGAGGACUAAAUUGAAAGUGUUAAAUUCUCUUAUCUAUACAGUAAUUCUGUCCAUAAUUCAUAUGUUAUUCUGUUCAGAAUCUCGGAAUAGGCUCCAGGGACCAAUCUGCAAAUUUUCCAAAGUUUGGGGACUAAACUGUAAUUUUCCAAAAUUGAGGGACCAAACCGAAAUUUUGUCAUCUUCAACCUCCAACCCAGAAUUCCAACAGAAAACCCACUGUUCUUUCCUUAUUUCUAACACAAAUUCACCAUUCAAACAAAAUCAUAACUCAAAAUCAUCAUCUUUCAAUUCAAUCUCUCAAAAUCAUCCAAAUAAUCAAAUACCCACAACAAUUAACUCUAUAAUAUUCAAAUUAAAUCAUCAAUCAAACCCAAAACACAAAUUUCAUAACCCUAACAUUUAUCAAAAUCGAAAUUAAAGCUUAAUAAUACAAAUUUAUACAUUUAACAACCUAAAUCUUACCUUUAAACUUAUUCCCUUCAAUUCUUUUCUAUUUUCCCCUCUUUUCUCUUCUUCUUCUUUCUCCCUUCUCUCCUGCCGAUUCUCUCUCAAAUAUUCAGAUCUCUUCUUCUUUUUUUUUUUUCUUUCUAUUUAUAUAUAUCAUCUCUUAUACAAUUACUACAAUACCCCUCAUUUAAUUUAUUCCUACAUCUAAGCAUUCAAGGACUUUAUUGUAUUUUCCUACUCAUUUAUUCAAAACAUCACAAUAACCCUAUAUGUUUUUGAACUAACUAGUCAAUUUUCUCAAAAACCCAAAAUUUAACGGUUUUCCCGAAAUCUAAUCCAUAAUAAAACAACUAAUAAAAUUGAUAAUAAUUCACUAAAUAACCCUUAAUUAUUCAUCAAACCAAUCUGCAAAAGCUAAUAUUACAGCUAGGGACUAAUUUGUAAUUUAUCAUAUUUUUAAGCGUCAAAUUGCAACUUUUGUCAACUUGAAGGACCAAACUGAAAUUGUCAUAAAUCCAUCACUAUACUGAAUUUCUGACCAUAAUUAGUCCUCAUUUCUGUCCAGAUCAUCUCAUUAUACUCCAAGGACCAUUCUGGAAUUUUACCAAAUUUUUAGGGUCAAAUUGUAAUUUUGUCAAAUUGGAGGACUAAAUUGAAAGUGUUAAAAUUUCAUAACUAUACUAGAAUUCUGCCCUUAAUUCAUAUAUUAUUCUGUUCAGAAUCUCGGAAUAGGCUCCAGGGACUAAUCUGUAAAUUUUUCAAACUUUGGGGACUAAACUGUAAUUUCCACAAAUUGAGGGACCAAAUUGAAUUUUCUUCAUCUUCAACCUCCAACCCAGAAUUUCAACAGAAAACCCACUGUUCUCUCCAAAUUUCUAACACAAAUUCACCAUUCAAACAAAAAUCAUAACUCAAAAUCAUCAUCUUUCAAUUCAAUCUCUCAAAAUCAACCAAAUAAUCAAAUACCCACAACAAUUAACCCCAUAACAUUCAAUUUAAUUCAUCAAUUAACCCAAAACACAAAUUUUCAAAACCCUAACAUUCAUCAAAACUGAAAUAAAAGCUUAAUUAACACAUAUUUAUACAUAAUCUUACCUUUAAACUUAUUUCUUCAACUCCUUUCUAUUUCCCUUCUAAUUUCUCUCUUUUCUCUUCUUCUUCUUCUUUCUCCCUUCUCUCUCCUGCCGAUUCUCU
RNAcentral lists this long non-coding RNA (4548 nucleotides) under Populus trichocarpa (black cottonwood). Its description in RNAcentral is "long non-coding RNA (PTRI_LNC001357)". The record is from RNAcentral. Lineage: Eukaryota; Viridiplantae; Streptophyta; Magnoliopsida; Malpighiales; Salicaceae.